RNAcentral lists this ribosomal RNA (492 nucleotides) under uncultured bacterium. RNAcentral describes it as "partial 16S ribosomal RNA". It matches the Rfam family "Bacterial small subunit ribosomal RNA", at positions 29 to 507 of the family's 1533-position model. The record is from RNAcentral.
AGUGAACGCUGGCGGUAGGCCUAACACAUGCAAGUCGAACGGCCGCACAGUAAGAGCUUGCUCUUACGGGUGGCGAGUGGCGGACGGGUGAGGAAUACAUCGGAAUCUACUUUUUCGUGGGGGAUAACGUAGGGAAACUUACGCUAAUACCGCAUACGACCUACGGGUGAAUGCCGGGGAUCUUCGGACCUUGCGCGAUUGAAUGCGCCGAUGUCGGAUUAGCUAGUUGGCGGGGUAAAGGCCCACCAAGGCGACGAUCCGUAGCUGGUCUGAGAGGAUGAUCAGCCACACUGGAACUGAGACACGGUCCAGACUCCUACGGAGGGCAGCAGUGGGGAAUAUUGGACAAGGAGCGCAAUCCUGAUCCAGCCAUACCGCGUGGGGGAGGAAGGCCUUCGGGUGUUAAAGCCCUUUUGUUGGGAAAGAAAAGCAGCAGGUUAAUACCCCGCUGUUCUGACGGUACCCAAAGAAUAAGCACCGGCUAACUUCGUG